This 76-nucleotide microRNA precursor is filed under the name Myotis lucifugus (little brown bat). RNAcentral describes it as "mir-9229 microRNA precursor family". It matches the Rfam family "mir-9229 microRNA precursor family". The record is from Rfam by way of RNAcentral. Lineage: Eukaryota; Metazoa; Chordata; Mammalia; Chiroptera; Vespertilionidae.
GAGACACCCCUCCGGGGCAAGACUUGCUUCAAUGGGGCUUUGGUGCUCAAUGAGUCUGCCCCCUGAGUGUGUCCUU